RNA transcript from Phragmites australis (common reed), 1562 nucleotides. It is a transcript of the gene named DNA repair protein RAD51 homolog B, with no coding region annotated. The transcript has 10 exons. Lineage: Eukaryota; Viridiplantae; Streptophyta; Magnoliopsida; Poales; Poaceae. The record is from RefSeq and is a predicted model, not a curated record.
CGCCCCUCGGGAGAAGAAGGCAAAUAAAUUUUGGCGCCUUGAAGCCCUCUUUGAACCCAAAACCAAACCAACCCACCUCCGUCCCCGCCAGGCGCUGCGAGUGGGCCCAUGUCGUCGAGGGCGGCGCACCAGAAGGCGGCAGCGGCGCCAGAGGAAGAGGCGGCGGAGUACGGGCCCUUCCCCAUCGAGCAGCUCCAGGCAUCUGGAAUAGCUGCACUCGAUGUAAAAAAGCUCAAAGAUGCUGGUCUUUGCACAGUGGAAUCUGUAGCUUACUCUCCAAGGAAAGAUCUUUUGCAAAUAAAAGGGAUUAGUGAAGCCAAAGUUGACAAGAUAAUUGAAGCAGCUUCCAAGUUGGUUCCACUGGGAUUUACUAGCGCUAACCAACUUCAUGCGCAGAGGCUUGAGAUCAUCCAAGUUACAACUGGAUCAAGAGAGCUUGAUCAAAUUUUGGAGGGAGGGAUAGAAACAGGGUCUAUCACAGAGAUUUAUGGUGAAUUUCGCUCUGGGAAGACUCAGUUGUGCCACACUCUCUGUGUCACAUGCCAGCUCCCAUUGGACCAAGGUGGUGGCGAAGGAAAGGCUCUGUAUAUAGACGCAGAGGGCACAUUCAGGCCGCAAAGACUCCUCCAGAUAGCAGACAGGUUUGGCUUGAUUGGUGCUGAUGUACUGGAAAAUGUGGCUUACGCCAGAGCAUAUAACACUGAUCAUCAAUCAAGACUUUUGCUGGAAGCAGCUUCCAUGAUGGUGGAGACCAGGUUUGCUCUUAUGGUUGUGGAUAGUGCUACAGCCCUAUACAGAACUGAUUUCUCUGGUCGAGGGGAGCUAUCAGCAAGACAGAUGCACCUGGCUAAGUUUCUUAGGAGCCUUCAGAAGUUAGCAGAUGAGUUUGGAGUGGCAGUGGUUAUCACUAACCAAGUGGUGGCUCAAGUGGAUGGUGCUGCAAUGUUUGCUGGGCCACAGAUCAAACCCAUCGGAGGGAACAUCAUGGCUCAUGCUUCCACAACUAGGCUUUUUGUUCGCAAGGGAAGAGGGGAGGAGCGGAUCUGUAAAGUAGUAAGCUCUCCCUGUCUGGCUGAAGCUGAAGCAAGGUUUCAGAUUUCAGCUGAAGGUGUCACUGAUGUUAAGGACUGAAAACUUCUCGGCAUCUGCAGUCCACAGCAUGCCUGGCCCAGAAAGGCCAAUGCUCUUAUGCAUCUCCGGUCUGCUGUUUGCAUUCUCACCACCAGAGAUGCUUGAAUCGAUGCUGGUCCCUUGUACAACCACAAUGGCAACCAAGAGCAAAUUUUGCAUUCCAUCUUACAUAGACUAAAGAAAAGGCCAUCAAAACUGCUACCCAGCUCUUGGAUUUGAGCUAAGACUGGCGUUAUCAAGUGCACCAGCUGCUGGGAAUCAGUUCCGAACACCACAUUCCACUAGUUCCAAUCUUCAACCAGGCAAACGCCAUCUCCAAGAGCUUGGCCAUCUGCUAUCAAAGAAUUGGGAGCAACAGCCGGAUACCAUUUCCAUGAAGCCACCAAUCCUGUCAUUUUGGGCAACCGUCGCAGAGUCGGCGUAGAGCGCAC